UCCCAGUGUUAACAAAGGAAACC
RNAcentral lists this non-coding RNA (23 nucleotides) under Rattus norvegicus (Norway rat). The record is from RNAcentral. Lineage: Eukaryota; Metazoa; Chordata; Mammalia; Rodentia; Muridae.